Molecule: ribosomal RNA, 376 nt
Filed under: uncultured bacterium
Lineage: Bacteria
Description: bacterial SSU rRNA
Rfam family: Bacterial small subunit ribosomal RNA
Source: RNAcentral
UACGUAGGGAGCAAGCGUUGUCCGGAAUUACUGGGCGUAAAGGGCGCGUAGGUGGGUUUUUAAGUCAGAUGUGAAAACUCUAGGCUCAACCUGGAGCUUGCAUUUGAAACUGGAGAUCUUGAGGGCAGGAGAGGAAAGUGGAAUUCCUAGUGUAGCGGUGAAAUGCGUAGAUAUUAGGAGGAACACCAGUGGCGAAGGCGACUUUCUGGACUGUACCUGACACUGAGGCGCGAAAGCGUGGGUAGCGAACGGGAUUAGAUACCCCGGUAGUCCACGCCGUAAACGAUGAAUACUAGGUGUAGGAGGUAUCGACCCCUUCUGUGCCGCAGCAAACGCAAUAAGUAUUCCGCCUGGGGAGUACGGCCGCAAGGUUGAA